AUGUGCUUUCCAAAAAAUGAGGGUGGAAUGGGAUUUCGUGAUCUCCAUGCUUUCAACUUGGCAUUACUUGCAAAACAGUGUUGGAGGCUGAUUUCCAAACCUAAUACUUUAUGUGCAAGAGUUCUUCGUGCAAAAUAUUACCCUGAUGGCAAUAUCCUGAAGGCUGGAAAUAAGAGAGGCUCCUCAUUUACAUGGCAAUCUAUUGUUUCGGGUAUACAAACAUUCAUGAGAGGUCAUAUUUGGCGUGUCGGUAUAGGCUCAAACAUCAACAUUUGGACCGAUUGCUGGGUGCUGAACAGCCCAAACAUGAAGAUCCUAACCCCGAAAGGUACCUGCCUACUUUCUAGAAUGGAAAAAUUAAUCGACCCAUACUCAGGGGAGUGGGACGAAGCUCUUAUCAGAAGCAUUUUCUCUCCGGUAGAUGUUGACAGGAUCUUGCGGAUUCCUUUGAAUGUCCAGCUGAUGGAGGACUUUGUGGCAUGGAACUUCACGAAAUCAUAUACAUUUACAGUUCGGUCAGCAUAUUAUGUUGAGUGGCACCACAAACAGGACACACAAAUCAGAAGGUCCGAUGGGCAGGGCAGCUCAAUGAUUAAUCUAGUAUGGGAAACUCUCUCGAAAUUAAGAGUACCAUCAAAGGUUAAGAUUUUUGCUUGGAAGGUAUUGCAUGGCACAGUCGCGACUCGCUCUGUCCUAGCGAAUAGACACAUAAAGGCGUCCCCUAACUGCCCGCUAUGCCCGGACGGGGCAGAGGAUAUUCGACACUUCAUUUUCACUUGCCAAUGUGCUAAGUAUGGCGAGCAAUGGGUCUGA
Molecule: ribosomal RNA, 813 nt
Filed under: Triticum aestivum (bread wheat)
Lineage: Eukaryota; Viridiplantae; Streptophyta; Magnoliopsida; Poales; Poaceae
Description: partial small subunit ribosomal RNA
Source: RNAcentral